Molecule: ribosomal RNA, 253 nt
Filed under: uncultured bacterium
Lineage: Bacteria
Description: partial 16S ribosomal RNA
Rfam family: Bacterial small subunit ribosomal RNA
Source: RNAcentral
UACGUAGGGUGCGAGCGUUGUCCGGAAUUAUUGGGCGUAAAGAGCUCGUAGGCGGUGUGUCACGUCGGCCGUGAAAACCUGCAGCUUAACUGUGGGCGUGCGGUCGAUACGGGCAAACUAGAAUUCGGUAGGGGAGACUGGAAUUCCUGGUGUAGCGGUGAAAUGCGCAGAUAUCAGGAGGAACACCGGUGGCGAAGGCGGGUCUCUGGGCCGAUAUUGACGCUGAGGAGCGAAAGCGUGGGGAGCGAACAGG